CAUCACUUGAGUCAAUGACUGGACUAACUUUCACAUGGGUCGACAGUUAACGUUUAAUGGAAUUACUGAAUGGAGAUCAAUGCUGUUUUCUUGUUAGCACAACUGUUAAGUAGAAGAUGUAACUUUUUUUUUACACUUGCGGUUCCAGUUAUUGCCUACUUUUUAUUUGUAUUAUUAUCAUUAAAAUGAAUGUUCGAUAUGAACACAGACAGAUCUGACAUUGAUAAUGGUCAGCAUCAGGAAUGUCCAGGAAAUGGCCAAUUGUGAUGUUCAAGAGCGAAGGGGGGUAUAAGAAUGGACAGGAAGUAAUUUGGCGAGGAAUUACUUUCUGUAAAAGCAGACGACUAAUGGCCUCAAGACAACAGUUGCAGCUGAGUCUCCUAUGAGAGUCUUGGAGCUGGAUGCCGUUGCAAUUCAGCACGUUUAUAUUUACAUUGAUGAGGCUGGCUUCAACCUAGCCAAAAGAAGGGGACGCAACAUUCAUAAUGGCCAAUAAUGUUCCUGGACAGUGUUGAGGGAAUAUCACCAUGUGCGCAGCCGUUAGCCAGCAAGGUGUCCUCCAUCACCAUGCCAACCUUGGUCCCUACAACAACCCCCCCCUUCUCAUCACAUUCCUGGACACACUACAUGGCAUCCUCAUUUCAGCGGAGCAGAGGGGUGGACCAGAGCAGCCCAGGUAUGUUGUCAUCUGAGACAACGUGAGUUUCCACCGGGCUGUUCUGGUCCGCAACUGGUUCAUUGACCACCCACAAUUUAUUGUUCUAUACCUCCCACCAUAUUCCCCAUUCCUAAAGCCAACUGAAGAGUUUUUCGGCAUGGCGACGGAAGGUGCAUGACCUCCAUCCCCUCGCACGCAUGCCUCUUUUCCAGGCAAUAGAGGAUGCAUGUGGUGAAGUUCCUGGGGGGCUUUCAGCGGCUGGAUCCGUCACUCCAGAAGAUUCUUUCCCCGCUGUUUAGCCAGGGAGAACAUUGGCUUGUGAUGUAGAUGAGGUGCUGUGGCUAGACCAAAAUAGGAGGCAGGAUGCAGCCUAAUGCAUUUUUUCCUUACAUUUUGCAUGUAUUUUUGUCUUUAGAGUUUUGAAAGAAACAGCCAGUCCUUUUUGUUGUACAGAAAACCCUUUAUUUUACUGAAUGCUUUUCCUGGAUUUCUGCUGUUGAGUAUGGAAAGUGUUACAUACAAAACACAAGUAUUCAAAAAUACUGCAUUUUAAUGACAAUGUUUUUGUUACUGUAUUGCAUUUAUGUAUAUUUUAGUAGGUAUACAUUACUGAACAAUCUUUUACAAAACAGGCUACAGUGUAACACUGAAAAUGCAAAAGGCAUAAACCUACUGAUGGGAUAUUCACAGUAGUGUUUUGAGCACAUAAGUGUGUUGGUUAGUAGACAGAUCUAUUCAUAUGACGCAUGUGUGUCAUUUUGAUGCAAAAAACAUUUUGGAAAGAGAAAAACGGUUUUGAAUGCAGUGUUUGCUUUUGCUAGAGCUUUGUAGAGUUUUGCAUUUUUUGGUUGUGUUUUGUGAAACUGGGCCAAAGAUUCAGCAAACGUGUAAACAAUUGUGGAAAACUGUUGCUAAGAAGCUAAUCUGACUGCCCUGCAGCACACCUUGCACUGGAUAUGACCUAAGUCUCCUCAUAGGUCAACAGACGCCUCUACUCUCUCCAUGGGUCAGACUCCACUCUAUCCAGCCCAUCUGAUCCAGUCUGACAGAAGACUUCAUUGAUUAUAUCAGAGUGAAUCAGCGACUAAGUUACUUGAGUGGUUUAGUGACACUUAUUUUUCCGCUGGUUAGUGGUUAACCUGUUGUUUGGAGAAGUCUAAUUGGCUCUGGUAGAGUGUGAUAAGGCUCUACUCCGAAUAUUCCCACUACUAGCGUACCACUUAGUUAGGAUGGAGCAGUGCAUUGGUAUGCUAGUGCAUUGGUAUGCUAGUGCAUUGGUAUGCUAGUGCAUUGGUAUGCUAGUGCAUUGGAAUGCUAGUGCAUUGGAAUGUAGACCUUGAUUGCGAAGUACAACAACUCUCUCUUGCCUUCCUCAUUAUUUUUCUCAGGAAAGUUGUGUAACAGUCCGACCAUGAAGGCUUGGGUCCACUGAAGUGUCUGGGGACAAUCCUUCAUCUGGACCUUACUAUGCUGUUAAUACAAAGAGGCCUGAAUUCCUCUGACUGUGACAAAGUCAAGUUCAUGGUCAUCAUUAUGGUCAUCUGUGGCAUACCAUUCCCACACAAAGCAGUACAAUAAUAAAGUACUGUAUGCAAUGAAGUAACUGUCCUACUGUGGGAUUAUCAAUGGUUUUCCAUUACACAUUCAGCUGUUUACUGUGAGAUGUUAGUUUACACUAAUAUUUUCACACUUAUCUUGUAUCUCUCUCUUGAAGAAUUAGGGUUUGUUUCUCAGCCAAGGGAGUGGGCUCACUCACAAUUUUGCCUAAGAACACAGCCUUGAAUAAAGAAUGGUACCAACACAUCCUCCGAGAGCAACUUCUCCCAACCAUCCAGGAACAGUUUGGUGACGAACAAUGCCUUUUCCAGCAUGAUGGAGCACCUUGCCAUAAAGCAAAAGUGAUAUGUAAGUGGCUCAGGGAGCAAAACAUCGAUAUUUUGGGUCCAAGGCCAGGAAACUCCCCAGACCUUAAUCCCAUUGAGAAUUUGUGGUCAAUCCUCAAGAGACAGAUGGACAAACAAAAACCCACAAAUUCUGAAAAACUCCAAGCAUUGAUUAUGGGCUGCCAUCAGUCAG
Molecule: long non-coding RNA, 2734 nt
Organism: Oncorhynchus tshawytscha (Chinook salmon)
Lineage: Eukaryota; Metazoa; Chordata; Actinopteri; Salmoniformes; Salmonidae
Source: Ensembl